UUUCGUGAUACCAACACAUGAGAUAGCUAUGCGAUGAAUCGCAAAGAACAGUGAAG
This 56-nucleotide long non-coding RNA is filed under the name Haliotis rufescens (red abalone). RNAcentral's name for it is "uncharacterized LOC125376852". Lineage: Eukaryota; Metazoa; Mollusca; Gastropoda; Lepetellida; Haliotidae. The record is from RNAcentral.